UACGGAGGGUGCAAGCGUUAUCCGGAUUUACUGGGUUUAAAGGGUGUGUAGGCGGGCUUUUAAGUCAGUGGUGAAAUCUCCGGGCUCAACCUGGAAACUGCCAUUGAUACUAUUAGUCUUGAAUUUUGUUGAGGUAGGCGGAAUAAGUCAUGUAGCGGUGAAAUGCAUAGAUAUGACUUAGAACACCAAUUGCUAAGGCAGCUUGCUAAACAAAUAUUGACGCUGAGGCACGAAAGCGUGGGGAUCAAACAGG
Molecule: ribosomal RNA, 253 nt
Filed under: uncultured bacterium
Lineage: Bacteria
Description: partial 16S ribosomal RNA
Rfam family: Bacterial small subunit ribosomal RNA
Source: RNAcentral